GACGAACCGUGCGAACGUUGUUCGGAAUCACUGGGCUUAAAGGGCGCGUAGGCGGGCUGCCAAGUUUGGGGUGAAAUCCUCCGGCUCAACCGGAGAACGGCCUCAAAUACUGGCGGUCUCGAGGGGGGUAGGGGCAUGCGGAACUAUGCGUGGAGCGGUGAAAUGCGUUGAUAUGCAUAGGAACUCCGGUGGCGAAGGCGGCGUGCUGGACCCUUUCUGACGCUGAGGCGCGAAAGCCAGGGGAGCGAACGGG
This 253-nucleotide ribosomal RNA is filed under the name uncultured bacterium. RNAcentral describes it as "partial 16S ribosomal RNA". It matches the Rfam family "Bacterial small subunit ribosomal RNA", at positions 524 to 776 of the family's 1533-position model. The record is from RNAcentral.